GCAAGUCAAAGGCAAGCCACUUGAAAAAGUAGUCACGCAAAGUUACAGAUCUAAGGGGAAACCUAUGAUGGCUGAACUACCAAA
Non-coding RNA from Pseudoalteromonas tunicata D2, 84 nucleotides. NCBI's taxonomy places the organism in Bacteria, Pseudomonadati, Pseudomonadota, Gammaproteobacteria, Alteromonadales, Pseudoalteromonadaceae. The record is from Rfam.